RNAcentral lists this unclassified non-coding RNA (584 nucleotides) under Hevea brasiliensis (rubber tree). Lineage: Eukaryota; Viridiplantae; Streptophyta; Magnoliopsida; Malpighiales; Euphorbiaceae. The record is from RNAcentral.
GAAAGACAAAGAGAAGAAGAAUAUGAAGAUUGAAGAGGUGCAAUCAACAAUCAAGAAUCAGAGAAUUGCAACUCAUACUCACAUUAAAGGCCUUGGUCUUGAGCCAAAUGGGAGGCCACUUCCAUUGGCAGCUGGGUUUGUAGGUCAGGCAGCAGCCAGAGAAGCUGCGGGGCUUGUGGUGGAUAUGAUACGCGAAAAGAAAAUGGCUGGGCGGGCUUUACUGCUAGCUGGUCCGCCUGGUACGGGGAAGACAGCUCUUGCUCUUGGUAUAUCACAAGACCUUGGAAGCAAGGUUCCAUUUUGUCCAAUGGUUGGGUCCGAAGUGUAUUCAUCAGAAGUGAAGAAAACUGAGGUCUUAAUGGAAAACUUCCGGCGAGCUAUUGGUCUCCGUAUGAAGGAAAAUAAGGAAGUUUAUGAAGGAGAGGUGACUGAACUAUCUCCAGAAGAGGGUGAGAGUGUGACAGGUGGAUAUGGUAAAAGCAUUAGCCAUGUUAUAAUUGGGUUAAAAACUGUCAAAGGUACCAAACAGUUGAAGCUUGACCCCACGAUAUAUGAUGCCAUAAUUAAAGAGAAGGUAGCUGUUG